CGUAGGGUGCGAGCGUUGUCCGGAAUUAUUGGGCGUAAAGGGCUCGUAGGCGGUUUGUCACGUCGGGAGUGAAAACUCAGGGCUUAACCCUGAGCCUGCUUCCGAUACGGGCAGACUAGAGGUAUGCAGGGGAGAACGGAAUUCCUGGUGUAGCGGUGAAAUGCGCAGAUAUCAGGAGGAACACCGGUGGCGAAGGCGGUUCUCUGGGCAUUACCUGACGCUGAGGAGCGAAAGUGUGGGGAGCGAACAGGAUU
Molecule: ribosomal RNA, 254 nt
Filed under: uncultured bacterium
Lineage: Bacteria
Description: partial 16S ribosomal RNA
Rfam family: Bacterial small subunit ribosomal RNA
Source: RNAcentral